This is a non-coding RNA of Bactrocera oleae (olive fruit fly), 802 nucleotides long. Lineage: Eukaryota; Metazoa; Arthropoda; Insecta; Diptera; Tephritidae. The record is from RefSeq and is a predicted model, not a curated record.
UUUAAACGCAAACAAAUGAUCAAAUAAAAAAUGCCAAUACGACACUUGCAAAAUUGCAAAAAUUGUGCUUCGCCAUAAAACUUUUCCAAUAGGUGUUUUCAGCUGUGUGCCUUUUAUUAAUUAAAUGAUAAUUAUAGAGUGUACAAAAGCAAACAGUAGGAGGUUGCUAUAAAUACUUCGGCCCAAACGCGAGAUUCGUGUGAAAAGCAAGAGAAAGAGCAGAGAAAAUGCGUAAGAAAGCAAUGCAGAGAGGAUGACUUAUAUUGAAUCAAGCCACAAAAAAUACCGUAAUUGAGUUUGAAUAAAUUAUAUACUUUACCACACGAGGCCGACGGACUACUUAACAUAUUUCUUUUCGGCUAGCCGACAUUCAUAAAGACAGCCUCGGGCCUCCCAAACAUUUAAAUAGUUAUGUGAAAAGCCCGAAUGCUAUUGAAUGAAUGUUAUUACUUAUCAAUUUGUCAAUCUAUAGUCAGUAUGUUUGUAUGUGUAGCGCUAAAGUUAAGCUAUUGAGGUUUUAUGAAUUAUGUUUGCAUAUAUUAAGUGGAAAUACUGUCUGAUAUUUCAUUAUCGCAUUGGCUUCGGUUUGUUAGCAACGUUCCUCCCGAACUUAAUAUAUAAAUCAUUUAAAUUUAAAAUAUCUUCAAAAAACAGUGUAAGCUGAAAUUGUACCGAGGAAAACAUACUACAUAGCUGUAUUGCUGUAAAUGGUUAAAAAUAAGAAAGACUUAAGAGUAUCUGUCUCUUCUAGAGUUUUUCCACAAUUACUAAAGACGCACGGGGAAACAUUUUUAUAAGCAGG